This 2096-nucleotide long non-coding RNA is filed under the name Triticum aestivum (bread wheat). Its description in RNAcentral is "long non-coding RNA (TAES_LNC008392)". Lineage: Eukaryota; Viridiplantae; Streptophyta; Magnoliopsida; Poales; Poaceae. The record is from RNAcentral.
CAAGCGUUGGGAGACCAUUGUUCUUGAACUCUGCGAUGAGCACUUUUUCUAUGAGGAGGUCAGUCAACACCUCGAAUCUUGUCUGCUGACAGCUUACUAGAGCAAUGCAUUUUUGUAUGCUUGUCAGUCGUCAUUGUGCUUAAAAUACCAAAAUUGUACCACAUUUCUUCUUUUGAUGUUCUGGGUAAGCCAUAUCUAGCUGCACAUUUGUACGAGUGUGUCCAUUUUAUGUCAUUUGUUUAUACUGAGAGUUUUUGUUCUCUCACACAUGCAGAUUGAGAACUAUAAUCAACCAUAUAUCAGUGCUUUAUAUGAGUAUAAUGAUAGGAAAGACCUUAAUAUGAUUUUGAGGUUGACUGCUUUAGUUCUCCUUAUGAUGAUGUUCAUAAAAGGAAGCUCGCAUCUGAAUUUGGGCUGUCGGAUUAGCCGUCCAAAAUGAACCUGGCCGUCGGAUCUUCAUCUGAAGCGAUCCUGGCCAUCGGAUCGUAAGAAACACUGCUAAAAUGAAUUGUGCACAUGGUUGCUACACCUGUGGUAUUGCUUUGGCUCUCCAUGACACGUGGCACCCGGUUGUGGUGGGUCAUACCCAUUAGCGACCGUGGAGCACAUAUCUCCCGGUGUCGUGUGCUUCUCCUGGAGAGCAUGUGCCACCGCCUGUAAAUUUGGGGGUUCGCUGAGGGUACUCUUGUCAUUCCAUAUGACGCUGCUUGUGUGGCGGUUCAUGUCUGGCUCCUCUCGAUGUAAAGGCAAGGGGGAUGCUCGAUUGGGUGAUAACCCUAGCCUCACAGCCCUCGCUUCACUCCCUCCUUACUCGUCCCCUUAUUCCUCCGCAUCUCUGGAUCCGGCCAUUGCUGACCCUCUACUUGCCCCGUCGUCGUUCCUUGGGUGCCGACCGGUGGAUGGGUGUCUGAGCUAGCGCCCACCUGCCGAUGCGAGAUGCAGCUUCCCGGAGAUCCACCGCAAGCCGCCGCCACAUCUCCUCCUCCUCGAACCCUGAUUCGAGUCCUCCAUUAAGGUCUCUCUCUCUCUCUCUCUGUGUGUGUGUGUGUGUGUGUGUGUGUGUGUGCACGCGAUCGUGUGCGUGGCGUGGGUACCUCCAUCGAUGUGCUCCCCAUCCGACUGUUGCUCAUCCCAUCAUCUUGCCAGAGCUCCCAGCCAAGAACGCCGAGGUCGCGGCCAGAUCUCCCGCGUAGCAUCAGGGUUAUUCCCGCUCCCUGCUAUGGAACCCGCAUCAAGAGAGGAUCUUCUCUCCUACAGUUUCCUUCCAAUCCUCCUGUAACUUGGAUCUGAUUUCAUGACAAGAAUUGAGAAAGCCUGGUUCUGGCAAUUCCUGUGAUUUUUAGCAGUAACAGAUGCAUACACUAUUUGUUGCUCCAAGUGAACUCUCAUCGAUCUUCCCUUUUACCUUGCAGGAGGUGGCAUUGUUGGUACUCUUGCCACGGCCAAAGCAGCGGUUGCAGCUAUGGUACUUCCAGGAGGAUGGAAAUAUGUGGUUUCUUCUUGGAAAGGUGAGUUGUUUACCUACAGAAAAAUCAACCUUUAGAGUUGUUUAACUGAACAUAUUUCACAUUGUUACGCCGAGAUAAAAAUCUUGCAUCAAUUGUUAUUGGUCACUCGAUGUCAAGUUAAUGGUUGAUUUGAAUUGGGGUUGACGAGGUCAUGUGUGCUUCAGCAAAUAUCCAAACAUUGUCCGAUGAUGCCACAACAGAUCAGCCUCUCAAGAUGUAUGUGUGGGAUCUAGAUGAAAUGCUUAUUCUGCGCAAGGCGCUGCAGAUGGGUUGUUUGCUGGGAAUUUUGAAGGCCUCAAGAUUCAUGAAAGAGGCACUGAAGUAAGCAAGCAUUGGGAUACCAUUGUUCUUGAACUCUGCGAUGAGCCCUUCUUGUAUGAGGAGGUCAGACAACACCUCGAAUCUUGUCUGCUGACAGCUUACUAGAGAAAUGCAUUUUUGUAUGCUUGUCAGUUGUCAUUGUGCCUAAAAUACCAAAACUGUACCACUUUUCUUCUUUUGAUGUUAUGGAUAAGCCAUAUCUAGCUGCACAUUUGGACGAGUAUGUCCAUUUUAUAUGUCAUUUGUUUAUACUGACAGUUUUGUUCU